GAUGAACGCUGGCGGCGUGCCUAAUACAUGCAAGUCGAGCGAACAGACGAGGAGCUUGCUCCUCUGACGUUAGCGGCGGACGGGUGAGUAACACGUGGAUAACCUACCUAUAAGACUGGGAUAACUUCGGGAAACCGGAGCUAAUACCGGAUAAUAUAUUGAACCGCAUGGUUCAAUAGUGAAAGACGGUUUUGCUGUCACUUAUAGAUGGAUCCGCGCCGCAUUAGCUAGUUGGUAAGGUAACGGCUUACCAAGGCAACGAUGCGUAGCCGACGUGAGAGGGUGAUCGGCCACACUGGAACUGAGACGCGGUCCAGACUCCUACGGGAGGCAGCAGUAGGGAAUCUUCCGCAAUGGGCGAAAGCCUGACGGAGCAACGCCGCGUGAGUGAUGAAGGUCUUCGGAUCGUAAAACUCUAUUAUUAGGGAAGAACAAAUGUGUAAGUAACUAUGCACGUCUUGACGGUACCUAAUCAGAAAGCCACGGCUAACUACGUG
RNAcentral lists this ribosomal RNA (497 nucleotides) under uncultured bacterium. RNAcentral describes it as "partial 16S ribosomal RNA". It matches the Rfam family "Bacterial small subunit ribosomal RNA", at positions 28 to 507 of the family's 1533-position model. The record is from RNAcentral.